Molecule: long non-coding RNA, 1011 nt
Organism: Manis pentadactyla (Chinese pangolin)
Lineage: Eukaryota; Metazoa; Chordata; Mammalia; Pholidota; Manidae
Exons: 6
Source: RefSeq, a predicted model, not a curated record
UUCCCUGCCAGAGCCAGGCCCACUGAGCAGGAUAAACAGCCUGGAGGCCCGGCCCAUGCAGGGCCUGCCUCUGUUCAGGCCUGCUGGAGGCAGCACAGGGUAGCAGAAAAAGCCACAGGACACAGGGUUCAGAGGCCCUGUGCUUACAUCACCUGCGCAGUGGCUUCAGUGAAAGUCCUGACUUCUGUAAGACUGUUUCCUCAUCUGAAAAAUGGAGAUCUAAUUGCCACUGGGUCCAAAUUCUUUGCAUGGCAUUCAAAGCUCUUCCCAUCUGGCCACCGCAAGAUCACUGAUUCAUGUUUAUUGAGCACCUGCCAUGUACAAACUCCUGGGAUCUGUGGGAAGCCGGAUGACUCUGCCAGCCCCGCCAUUCAUACAGACUGCAGGAGUGAGAGGAGGAGUCCGGAAUUGAAUUUUGAUAGAGGCUGUCCUUUUUUCUUGGAUGGCUUCCUGCACCUUGCCUCGCUUCAGCACUUCUUUGGAUUUUUAACAUGAGUCUCAAUAGUCCCAUCUUUGAAAUGAAGAGUUAGACAGUUGGUCUCCACAAUGCUUUCCAGCUUCAGUACUCCCGGAUCCCAUGCCUGAAGGGGACACAGAGCAGAUUCCUCCAGAAGAUGAGCCACCCCACGCUCAAACUUUUCUUUAUAAUCAGUUCAUACAUCAUCAACUUGAUGAGCCUGGAGCAGGAAAGAGUCUUCUCCCAGGGCUCCGCAGCAGACGUAUCAAACCCUUAACAACAGUGAUGGUGAGGCUGGUGGGAAAAGUCAGAGCAGCAGACAACUUCUGCAACGUGCCAGGACCAAAGUUGAUGACAUUUAUUUUUCCCAGAGACAACAAGCCUUGCCUAAAACCCAUGUUUUCAUAUGAAUAAAGGCACUUUUGGGUUUUCAUGACGGCCAAAAUCUCUGUUUUUACCUUAGAAGCCAAUAUUCAGUUGGGAUGUUCAAGCCUGGCCAAAAUUCAGUGAAGAAGUGUGAAGAAAGUGAAGAUUCCUAUGGCCAGGAUUCUCAC